This 449-nucleotide ribosomal RNA is filed under the name uncultured bacterium. RNAcentral's name for it is "partial 16S ribosomal RNA". It matches the Rfam family "Bacterial small subunit ribosomal RNA", at positions 29 to 523 of the family's 1533-position model. The record is from RNAcentral.
AACGAACGCUGGCGGCAGGCCUAAUACAUGCAAGUCGAACGCUCCAGCAAUGGAGAGUGGCAGACGGGUGAGUAACGCGUGGGAACCUUCCCAGUGGUACGGAAUAGCUCAGGGAAACUUGAGGUAAUACCGUAUACGCCCUUCGGGGGAAAGAUUUAUCGCCAUUGGAUGGGCCCGCGUCGGAUUAGCUAGUUGGUGGGGUAAUGGCCCACCAAGGCGACGAUCCGUAGCUGGUCUGAGAGGAUGAUCAGCCACACUGGGACUGAGACACGGCCCAGACUCCUACGGGAGGCAGCAGUAGGGAAUAUUGGACAAUGGGCGAAAGCCUGAUCCAGCCAUGCCGCGUGAGUGACGAAGGCCUUCGGGUUGUAAAGCUCUUUUGGCGGGGACGAUAAUGACGGUACCCGCAGAAUAAGCUCCGGCUAACUUCGCGCCAGCCGCCGCGGUAA